RNAcentral lists this ribosomal RNA (253 nucleotides) under uncultured bacterium. RNAcentral describes it as "partial 16S ribosomal RNA". It matches the Rfam family "Bacterial small subunit ribosomal RNA", at positions 118 to 354 of the family's 1533-position model. The record is from RNAcentral.
UGGGUAACCUGCUUCAAAGAGGGGAAUAGCCUCCCGAAAGGGAGAUUAAUACCGCAUAAUAUGUUUAAGUCGCAUGACUUUAACAUCAAAGGAUUUUCUUUUAGAACUUCCACUUUGAGAUGGACCCGCGACGCAUUAGCUAGUUGGUGAGGUACGGCUCACCAAGGCGACGACGGGUAGCCGGCCUGAGAGGGCGACCGGCCACACUGGGACUGAGACACGGCCCAGACCUCCGUACGGGGAGGCAGCAGGG